GAUGAACGCUGGCGGCGUGCCUAAUACAUGCAAGUCGAGCGAACAGACGAGGAGCUUGCUCCUCUGACGUUAGCGGCGGACGGGUGAGUAACACGUGGAUAACCUACCUAUAAGACUGGGAUAACUUCGGGAAACCGGAGCUAAUACCGGAUAAUAUAUUGAACCGCAUGGUUCAAUAGUGAAAGACGGUUUUGCUGUCACUUAUAGAUGGAUCCGCGCCGCAUUAGCUAGUUGGUAAGGUAACGGCUUACCAAGGCAACGAUGCGUAGCCGACCUGAGAGGGUGGUCGGCCACACUGGAACUGAGACCCGGUCCAGACUCCUACGGGAGGCAGCAGUAGGGAAUCUUCCGCAAUGGGCGAAAGCCUGACGGGGCAACGCCGCGUGAGUGAUGAAGGUCUUCGGAUCUUAAAACUCUGUUAUUAGGGAAAAACAAAUGUGUAAGUAACUAUGCACGUCUUGACGGUACCUAAUCAGAAAGCCACGGCUAACUACGUG
RNAcentral lists this ribosomal RNA (497 nucleotides) under uncultured bacterium. Its description in RNAcentral is "partial 16S ribosomal RNA". It matches the Rfam family "Bacterial small subunit ribosomal RNA", at positions 28 to 507 of the family's 1533-position model. The record is from RNAcentral.